AACCCGACAGAAUCUUCAUCCGCGUGUCCAUUCUGACAGGAUGUACAGUAGUAUAUGACCUGGGGUUAUUUCCACUGUCAUUUUAUAGAAGGUAAAAUACGCUGGAAUCUUCCCAGACCGGAGAAUGUGCAAGUCUGGAAAAGUUACCGACGUGACAGCUUUCCGGUUAGUGAUGACUAAUAAAAAAAAAAAAUCCACUCAGUCUGAACAGUGUUUAAGUUCAAGCCGGGGGGCUCUAAUUAAACGCUGACACUUGGAACGACAGGAGGAGCACAACGUGGACUUCGUACAGCAUGGUUCUUUAGGACUUCGGACGGCUCCAAGUCGUUGACCUGCAGGAGUGAACUGUAGUGACGACUCGCACGCACGCGCACGCAGCUGUGGACAGCGGACAAACAUCAAACCCUGACGGUUUACCAGGCUUCACCGAUCCCGUACCGUGCUCGUCGUCGGUGUGAGCGACGUGGAUCGCGCGCUCGUCCAGGCUGAAGUAGAGGAAAUGGAGGCCUCGGCGUCGGUGUAAAGGGGAUUCCAUCGACCCCUUCGACUCUCAAGACUCAUCCCUGGAUCCUGACUUGCCUUCUUCACUCCCGACGAAUAGUCUGGGUUUGAGGGCUUAAAUAAAUGAUUCUUUUUAUUGAAUUAACAUUUGAAAAGAGGAGCGGUUGAUCACGUUUGUCCACUCAAGAAAGGAUUUUUAAUUUCAAAGUUGCUCUGAUGUCCACUUUGUCCUCUUACGCUCGGCGUGAUGACCUCAACAAUAUUAGACGUUAAGUCCUAUGAGAUCACGUCACCGGCCCCCCACAUGCUCCAAAUUCACCCUAACGGAAAUUUGAAGAAUAUAUUGGCGAAUAUAUUCACCGCUUAUCAAAUCUAGGCAAACAAUAUGAUUGAAAAGUAAACUAUACAUUUAAAAUAAUAAUAAUAAUAAUAAUAAUAAUAAUAAUACUAAUAAUAAUAAUUUAAAGAAUGUCCUUGUUGGUGUUAAUCUGACAUUGAUCCUGUCCUCUAGGUCCUCUUCUGUUUCAGUUAACUGGUGCCUUCUUUAAAAAAAAAUUAUAUUUAUUUAUUUAUUUUAAAUCAUACCACUGUUCUACCGCUCUUCUUUCUGAAUCUUUCUCUCUUUCUUAUCUCCUCCAUACAUCCUCCCACCUGCCUCCCUCUAUCUCCCUCCCGUCGCUCUUCCUGCCUUUCCGCGCGUGCUGAUUGUCGCGCUUUUCAUUCUUCGUCCUCUGUAUUGGCUUUUGUUUUGGGAACAAAGGGCGCGUAAUGUCCUCAUCUUUUCCAUCUGUCACUCAGUCGGGGGGAAUGACUGAGAGGCGGAAGAUGACGAGAGACAGGGAGAGAGUGAGGAGGAAGGAUGCGGCCGUUUGAUUUCGGGAGCACUGCUUCAUUUCCCCUCAGCUCUCUGUGCGACUGCUCCGUAGACACAGACACGGCGAGGGAUCGGAGCUCCGGCGAGCUUCCUCCUGGAAAUUUACCACAGUGCUGCUGUGCUUCCAAAAAGGUUACAAAUAUUUCAUAGAUGGAUGGAUGGAUGGAUGGACAGUGGGAUGGAUGGAUGGAAGGACAGAUAGAUAGAUUGAUAGAUAGAUGUAUGGAUAGACAGUGGGAUGGAUGGAAGGAUAGAUAGACAGAGACAAAUAGAUAGAUAGAUAGUGGGAUGGAUGGAUAGAUAGAUAGUGGGAUGGAUGGAUAGAUAGUGGGAUGGAUGGAUGGAAGGGUAGAUAGAGGGAUGGAUGGAUGGAAGGAUAGAUAGAGGGAUGGAUGGAUGGAAGGAUAGAUAGAUAGAUAGAUAGAUAGAUAGUGGGAUGAUGGAAGGAUAGAUAGAUAGAUAGUGGGAUGGAUGGAAGGAUAGAUAGAUAGUGGGAUGUAUAGAUAGAUAGAUAGAUAGAGAUAGAUAGAUGGAUGGAUGGAAGGAUAGAUAGAUAGAUAGAUAGUGGGAUGGAUGGAUGGAAGGAUAGAUAGAUAGUGGGAUGUAUAGAUAGAUAGAUAGAUAGAGAUAGAUAGAUGGAUGGAUGGAAGGAUAGAUAGAUAGAUAGAUAGUGGGAUGGAUGGAUAGAUAGAUAGAGGGAUGGAUGGAUGGAUAGAUAGAUAGAUAGAUAGAUGGAUAGAUAGAUAGUGGGAUGGAUGGAAGGAUAGAUAGAUAGUGGGAUGGAUGGAUGGAAGGAUAGACAGAUAGAUGGAUAGUGGGAUGGAUGGAUGGAAGGAUAGAUAGAUGGAUAGAUAGAUGGAUAGUGGGAUGGAUGGAUGGAAGGAUAGAUAGAUGGAUAGAUAGAUGGAUAGAUAGAUAGAUGGAUGGAAGGAUGGAUAGAUAGAGGGAUGGAAGGAUAGAUAGAUAGAUAGAUGGAUGGAAGGAUGGAUAGAUAGAGGGAUGGAAGGAUAGAUAGAUAGAUAGAUGGAUGGAAGGAUAGAUAGAUAGAUAGAGGGAUGGAUGGAAGGAUAGAUAGAUAGAUGGAUGGAAGGAUAGAUAGAUAUGGAUAGUGGGAUGGAUGGAUGGAAGGAUAGAUAGAUGGAUGGAAGGAUAGAUGGAAGGAUGGAUGGAAGGAUAGACAGAUAGAUAGAUGGAUAGUGGGAUGGAUGGAUGGAUAGUGGGAUGGAUGGAUGGAAGGAUAGAUGGAUAGAAGGAUAGAUGGAUAGUGGGAUGGAUGGAUGGAAGGAUAGAUGGAUAGAUGGAUAGUGGGGAUGGAUGGAUGGAAGGAUAGAUAGAUAGAUGGAUAGUGGGAUGGAUGGAUGGAAGGAUAGAUGGAUAGUGGGAUGGAUGGAUGGAAGGAUAGAUAGAUGGAUGGAAAGGAUAGAUAGUUAGAUAGAUAGAUAGAGGGAUGGAAGGAUAGAUGGAUAGUGGGAUGGAUGGAUGGAAGGAUAGUGGGAUGGAUGGAUGGAAGGAUAGUGGGAUGGAUGGAUGGAAGGAUAGAUGGAUAGAUGGAUUAAUGGAUAGUGGGAUGGAUGGAUGGAAGGAUAGAUGGAUAGUGGGAUGGAUGGAUGGAAGGAUAGAUGGAUAGUGGGAUGGAUGGAUGGAAGGAUAGAUAGAUAGAUGGAUGGAAGGAUAGAUAGUUAGAUAGAUAGAUAGAGGGAUGGAAGGAUAGGUGGAUAGUGGGAUGGAUGGAUGGAAGGAUAGAUAGAUGGAUAGUGGGAUGGAUGGAUGGAAAGAUAGAUAGAUAGAUAGAUAGAUAGAUAGAUUGGAUGGAAGGAUAGAUGGAUAGUGGGAUGGAUGGAUGGAAGGAUAGAUGGUAGAUAGCAUUUAGUCCUGAGUGUCUGGUGAAGAGCUAGUGAGUGUUAAUAAGUGGAAUAAGACACACUGAUGGGGUGGUGGAACAGUGACACCACUGAACCUUUCCUCCGAGUUGAACUCUAUCUGACUGAUUCCUGGCUGUAAAUGGCAUC
Long non-coding RNA from Ictalurus punctatus (channel catfish), 3384 nucleotides. The record is from Ensembl. Lineage: Eukaryota; Metazoa; Chordata; Actinopteri; Siluriformes; Ictaluridae.